AAACUAUUGCCACCAACAUCAGAGCGUCAGGCUCAUGAAAUCAUGUUCAAUCGCUUAUUCAGGAGGCGAAAUAACCUCAAAUUAAUGACGCUGAAAUCGUAUGAUUCCGUGACCGGAGUUAGCGGUUCAUGGCUAGCCACUAAGCGAACGCCUGCUAAGCAGCCGGGCAAGAGCCGUCAGACUUCUUCUCAAAGCCGUUCCCGCCAUAGGAAUGGAACGCUGCCGCAAACUGAUCUGACAAGCUGCUACGUUUUGCAGUCCGCCUCUUUUCAUCAGCAGAAUCUCACCGGUCUGGUGCUCAUUUCCACCCCAACACUCAAGACGUCUGUGUUGAAAAUCUCGUCACAAGGCCCGAGCUCCGCAGUAUGCGGAAAGAGGUAAACGCCCGCUCACUUGCAUUAGACAGAACCACCCCCUCAAAACAGGCUCAUUUUCAGCAUGACACCAAAUGAAAGAGGCAUCAAGUAAAUCUGAGGGUAGUUUCCUACUUGCAGGCAGUCUUGCGUGCAGCAUGGGUGAUCUAGUUGGCAAUGAUUUGGGAGCGGUGCGCCGAGUGGCGCUUAACUGGCUCGUUGAUGGCUUAAACGAUUUCAUCACUAUCAAGGACGGCGACGGCGGCUUCCCGCGUUGCUCCGCCAGAUGCUCGGGGACCCGCUCGCUUCUUCACGCUGACUAUCCUCAAACCGACUGUUAUUUGGAGUCACCGUACUCCGUCAAGCUUUUUAUAAGGGCUUUUUUUCUUCUUCCUCUCCCGUCCUGCGUUAAUUUGUACAAAUCGUUUGGUAAGAAAGAAUGAAAAAUGAUACGAUGAGAAUGUCAUGAGAAUCGUAUGAGAGAAUUUUUU
This is a long non-coding RNA of Hippocampus comes (tiger tail seahorse), 844 nucleotides long. RefSeq lists it as uncharacterized. The transcript is spliced from 3 exons. The record is from RefSeq and is a predicted model, not a curated record. NCBI's taxonomy places the organism in Eukaryota, Metazoa, Chordata, Actinopteri, Syngnathiformes, Syngnathidae.